AGAUCGUAAAUCAGCAAGAGACAUCUUCAAGGAAACCGCGAGUUGAUCGUCAGAAGGUUCACAUCCCAAUCUUUCCUUCAGACUGGCCUUCUGUUCUUCUAAAUAAAGACCAAAUUUGAUUUUCUUGGAUAGUUGCACCACUUCCUUAUGUGUAAGAAGUUCUUGGUUUACGACACCAUUCAUGUAACCUCUCAAACGGUUUUGUUGUAGCUCUGGACCAACAACAGAUCUCAGUCGCUUGCUUGCACUAUUUGCUUCAGCUGAAGCUUUUGGAAUUUGAACUCUUUUACGAGUAUCCAUUCUCCUCCGCCUAGCAGAAGUUCCUGAACA
RNAcentral lists this unclassified non-coding RNA (330 nucleotides) under Hevea brasiliensis (rubber tree). Lineage: Eukaryota; Viridiplantae; Streptophyta; Magnoliopsida; Malpighiales; Euphorbiaceae. The record is from RNAcentral.